UGGGGAAUAUUGGACAAUGGGGGAAACCCUGAUCCAGCCAUGCCGCGUGUGUGAAGAAGGCCCUCGGGUUGUAAAGCGCUUUCAGCGAGGAAGAACGCCUAGCGGUUAAUACCCGCUAGGAAAGACAUCACUCGCAGAAGAAGCACCGGCUAACUCCGUGCCAGCAGCCGCGGUAAUACGGAGGGUGCAAGCGUUAAUCGGAAUUACUGGGCGUAAAGCGCGCGUAGGUGGCUUGAUAAGCCGGUUGUGAAAGCCCCGGGCUCAACCUGGGAACGGCAUCCGGAACUGUCAAGCUAGAGUGCAGGAGAGGAAGGUAGAAUUCCCGGUGUAGCGGUGAAAUGCGUAGAGAUCGGGAGGAAUACCAGUGGCGAAGGCGGCCUUCUGGACUGACACUGACACUGAGGUGCGAAAGCGUGGGUAGCAAACAGGAUUAGAUACCCCUGUAGUCCCUGAGCGGGCUGGCAAGGCGCAU
Molecule: ribosomal RNA, 472 nt
Filed under: uncultured bacterium
Lineage: Bacteria
Description: bacterial SSU rRNA
Rfam family: Bacterial small subunit ribosomal RNA
Source: RNAcentral